UCAACUCCGGGUGUUGAAAUGGCUCUUUUUCGUUAACGCCGGGUUAUCGGUAACUCACACUUCAACUCUUGAUGGUGAAACCGGCCAUAAGGAAAUUAGAUCAUUACCCCCGCGGUACACAUUAUGGUAUAAAGCGUCGAUGAGCUGUUGUUAACGCGUUAUUAAAAAUACAAUAAUAUUAUGCCUACCCUACAACGGCGGUGACGUCGAAAAAAUACCGUUAUCGGACGUUAACAGACGAUUUUUCAAACGACAUUUAUCGCAAUAACACAGCGUGG
Non-coding RNA from Cinara cedri, 278 nucleotides. NCBI's taxonomy places the organism in Eukaryota, Metazoa, Arthropoda, Insecta, Hemiptera, Aphididae. The record is from the annotation of a GenBank genome assembly.